CCCUUCCCUCCAGAGAAUCCCUGGUCUCUACCCAAAUUUGUUUGAGAUCUAAUGUUUAUUUUGCUGUACAACUUUUCUGGAGUUUUACUUGCUUCCAACAAGGAAGGCAAGUUUUCCUGCUUCCAUGCUGAUGGUGGGCAGGUAACCCCCUUCUGGAGUUUCAGCCCUCUUCCAAGAGGGAGGGUGAGUUUGAGCUUUUUCCCGCUUCUAGGAUGGUAGAGAGCAGUCUUCAGUUUGAGCCCCAUUCCUUGGUAAGUAGCUGAAUUGGGUUUUUGUCUUGGCUAAAGUUAAGAUUAACAACCAGCUAGUCUUAAUUUCUCCUUAUAAUUAGAGUGCUCAGUAAUUGUAUAAAUUGUGUGAUCAUUUGUUUGUUUUGCUUAACUGUUUUUUGUUUUGUUUUUUUGUUUCUGUUUUUGUUGUUUCUGUCUCACUUUGUGGAGUCCUAAUUAGGGAAAAGGGGACAAGCUGGCGAGAUCAGGGGAAAGCAAAGAGAUAAAGCAGAUAAGCUAUAAUAGGUCUGCCUUUCUUUGUGGCCCAGGACACAAACAUUAUCUGUGCAGAUAAUGUACAACUCACACUCUUCCUGCUUAUCAGAUGGUUCCAUUUAUCAUCAAACACCUUGGCUGACAGAAAUGUUGCAAGUUAGCUCCUCUGCAACCUUGUCAUUAUCAGUACUACAUGUAGCACUCUGCAGCCCAAGAACCAGCUUAUAAAAUCUCCAGCAAGCCUUUGUUUUCUUGCAGUCACUUCCUCUCUUGCUGAUUCUGUUACUGGAAAGGGGUCCCAAUCCAAACCCCAAGAGACGGUUAUUGGAUCUCACGCAAGAAAGAAUUCAGGGGGAGUCCAUAAAGUGAAAGCAAGUUUAUUAGCAAAGUAAAGGAAGAAAGAAUGGCUACUCCACAGGCAGAGCAGCCCUGAGGGCUGCUGAUUGCCCAUUUUUAUGUUUAUUUCUUGAUUAUAUGCUAAAAAAGGGGUGGAUUAUUCAUGCCUCCCCUUUUUAGACCAUAUAGGGUAACUUCUUGAUGUUGCCAUGGCAUUUUUAAACUGCCAUGGCCCUGGUGGUAGUAUAGCAGUGAGGACGACCAGAGGUCACUCUCGUGUCCAUCUUGGUUUUGGUGGGUUUUGGCCGGCUUUGGCUUCUUUACGCAAACUGUUUUAUCAGCAAGGUCUUUAUGACCUGUAUCUUGUGCUGACCUCCUAUCUCAUCCUGUGACUAAUGCCUUCAUCAUCUGGGAAUGCAGCCCAGUAGGUCUCAGCUUCAUUUUACCCAGCCCCUAUUCAAGAUGGAGUUGCUCUGAUUCACACACCUCUGAUAAUUCUGCCCAUUGCUUUUUUGAAACAUAUUUUAAUACUUUCUCUAAUAAAUAUGCCUUUCUUUACCUACAACUGUCUUGGUAAAUUUUUUGUUUUGUUUUGUCUUUUGAGACAGAGUUUCUGUCACCCAGGCUGGAGUGCAGUGGCAUGAUCUUGGCUCACUGCAACCUCUGCCUCCUGGGUUCAAGUGAUUCUCUUGCCUCAGCCUCCCGAGUAGCUGAAAUUACAGGCAUGUGCCACCAUCCCAACUAAUUUUUGUAUGUUUAGUAGAGACGGGGUUUCACCAUGUUGGCCAUGCUGGUCUCAAACUCCUCAAGUGAUCCGCUGGCCUCGGCCUCCCAAAGUGCUGGGAUGACAGGCAUGAGCCACCAUGCCCAGCCAUGUUGGCCAGGCUGGUCUCAAACUCCUGACUUCAAAUGAUCUGCCUGCCUAGGCCUCCCUAAGUGCUGGGAUGACAGGCAUGAGCCACCACGUCCAGCCAAAUUUUUUUUUAAAGGAGCUCAAUGUUUAAAAGUCAGCUUAAUUAAAAGCUAAUAUUCAAGGUGUGUGUGUGUGUGUGUGUGUGUGUGUGUGUGUAUUUAAAAGGCCUUUGUGGUUUUCUUUUCUCUCCUAGGACCUUGUUUUGUUUUUUUCUUUUGUUCUUUCUUUUUUUUUUUGAGAAAAAGGUUUUUUUUUUCUUCUUAGUCAACUGAAUUCUGUUUUCUUCAUUUACUUCUGCUGUCUCUCCUUUCUCUUGCCACCCUCUGCUUCAUGAGGAAUCUAAAAUAGUUUCUAACAGCCUGAGAUUCCUUAAAGAAAACAGAGAAGGUGCCAGACUCCCUUUCGGGAAGAAAUCUCUGUUUUUCCUUAUGGAACCCCAAGAGUGUAAACAGGCGAGUUCAUCUCAGAUCUUAAACUGCUUGCUUUUGUAUUGUGUUACCUGAUUUUUUUUGACUAAAACAGUUAUUACAACAGAGGUUACUCUUGGGUGUUUAAAUCAAGGAAGAGUUUGGUUUAGACACUUAGAGAAAUGUCUUUGUUAAAAAAAAAAGUGCACUGUAAAAACAUCACAUGGUCUAGCCUCAUAAUAAUUGUCAGGCCUCUGAGCCCAAGCUAAGCCAUCAUAUCCCCUGUGACCUGCACGUAUACAUCCAGAUAGCCUGAAGCACUUGAAGAUCCACAAAAGAAGUGAAAAUAGCCUUAACUGAUGGCACUCCACCAUUGUGAUUUGUUUCUGUCCCACCCUAACUGAUCAAUGUACUUUGUAAUCUCCCCCACCCUUAAGAAGGUUCUUUGUAAUCUCCCCCGCCCUUAAGAAGGUUCUUUGUAAUUCUCCCUACCCUUGAGAAUGUAGUUUGUGAGAUCCACCCCCUGCCUGCAAAACAUUGCUCCUAACUCCACUGCCUAUCCCAAAACCUAUAAGAACUAAUGAUAAUCCCACCACCCUUUGCUGACUCUCUUUUUGGAUUCAGCCCGCCUGCACCCAGGUGAAAUAAACAGCCUUGUUGCUCACACAAAGCCUGUUUGGUGUUCUCUUCACGCGGAUGUGACAGACAUCUGGUGCCGAAGACCCGGGUCAGAGGGACUCCUUCAGGAGACCAGUCCCCUGUCCUCACCCUCACUCCAUGAAGAGAUCCACCUAUGUAUGACCCUGGGUCCUCAGACCAACCAGCCCAAGGAACAUCUCACCAAUUUCAAAUUGGAUCUUCUCGGCUCAGUGGCUGAAGACUGACGUUGCCUGAUCACCUCGGAAGCCUCCUGGACCAUCACAGACGCUUUGGGUAACUCUUACAGUGGAGGGAUACAAUUGAAGACACUGGUUAUUUUACCAAGGCUUUGAUUGGAAUGGCUUACUUUCAGAUAUAAAUCAACUGCUUUAAGGAAUCAAAGUUGACUUACAGAGUCAUAAAAGCCCCUUGGGAAAGCUGGCCUCAUGCCUUUCCACACAGUUCCUGUACAGUUUCCUGACGUGUGUUAUGCUGUGCUUUCUUAAAACCCUGUGAACUGAAGCUACACAACUUAAACUUCAGAAGAAAAUAACAGCAACCUAUAUGCCAGCCUACUGAUGUAUGAACUUCAGAGAAAAAUGGCUCUAUCUUUUCAUUUGUUUGUUGUUUUCUUUCUUUCUGUCCCUAUUUUCUGUUUGUAGAACAUGAUACUUUACAACCUGCUAAAAAUGAGCUUUUCUAAUAAUGUGAGACCUACCUGUCUAGAAUAGAUCAUCCUAGCUAUAAGUGAUCAGAAAAACCUGAGACUGGAGACUCAUUUUCUUCUAAAAUGCUCUUUCUGAAAGAUUUUAAAAAGAAACAGAAAAAAUGUGAAAGGAAAAUAAAUCUCGGAUUCCAAAAUCACUAAGCCAAGGGAAAAGUCAAGCUGGAAACUAUGUCAGGCGAACCUACCUCCCAUUUUAUUCCUAAAUAAGACAGCUACAAAGAUAAAAAAAAAAUCUCCCUCACAAUUUGCCCACAAGGAAAUUUCUUGUGGGCCUCAAGAUCUUUACCCUGAAACAGUUCUGUUGAAUUUCACCCUGGCAAUGUAAACUGAUAGCUUAUUUUCACAGAUGUGGGACAGGAAGUCAUCCCUCUGCUCACCUGAGACAAUUGCAUAUCCGAUUGCUUCCUGUGCCCUAUUGUUUAUGUAAAAAUGCAGAUACACUGAGACAGACUAAACUUUUUUUUUCUUUUUCUUUUUUUUUUUUUUUUUUUUGAGUCAGAGUCUCACCCUGUCACCCAGGCUGGAGUGCAGUGGUGCAAUCUCAGCUCACUGCAACCCUUGCCUUCCAGGUUCAAGUUAUUCUCCUGCCUCAGCCUCCCAUAUAACUGGGACUAUAGGCACAUGCCCUCAUGCCCGGCUAAUUUUUGUAUUUUUAGUAUAGGGGUUUCUCUAUGUUGGCCAAGGCUGGUCUCAAACUCCUGAGAGUGAGAGGUCCUGAGAGACCUCGAGUGAUCCACCCGCCUCAGCCUCCCAAAGUGCUGGGAUUACAGGUGUGAGCUACCAUGCCUGGCUCAGACUAAAUUGUGUAUUCAGUGAAAGGCUGAUCAAGGACUCAAAAGAAUGCAACCUUUUGUCUUUUAUCUACCUAUAACCUGGAAGCCCACCCUCACCCCCAUCCCACUUUUGAGUUGUCCCACCUUUCCUGACUGAGCCAAUGCACAUCUUACACAUAUUAUGUCUCAUGUCCCCCUAAAAUGUAUAAAACCAAGCUGUAUCCCAACCACCUUGGGCACAUGUCAUCAGGACCUCUUGAGGCUGUGUCAUGGGCGUGUCCUUAACCUUGGCAAAUUAAACUUUCUAAAUUGUUUGAGACCUGUCUCAGAUAUUUUGGGUUCAUAGGUGAUUCUUUUCCUGCUGGAACUGAUUGUAAGCAGGUAAAAGCAGCCACGCCACUUCUUGAAGGCUUUGCUGCUUAGAAAUUUCUUCCACCAGAUGUCCUAGGUCUUUACUCUUAAGUUUGACCUUCUACAGAGUCCUAGAGCAUGGAGACAAUGCAGCCAGUUCUUUGUUUAUACUAACAAGGUUUGGUCCAGUUCCUAAUAAAUUCUUAAUUUGUAUCUGAGAUGUCAGCUUGGCCUUUACUGUCUAUAUUUGUAUGAACAUUUUGAUCACAACCACUUAAUCAAUCUCUAAGAAGUUCCAAACUUUCCCUCAGGAAAAGUUUGCCCUGGCUGGUUUUGAACUCCUGGCUUCAAGUAAUCCUCCCACCUUGGCCUCUCAAAGUGCUGGGAUGACAGGCAUAAGCCACCAUUCUCAGCUGAUGCCUUCCAUUACUUGUUCUUGUUGAAUAGCUCUGGUUAGAACUUCCAUUACAAUAUUGAAUAGCAGGGCAUCCUUUUCUUGUUCCUGAUCUUAGGGGGAAAACUUUCAGUAUUUCAUCAUUGAUAUCCUGCUAGCUGUGGCUUUCUCAUAAAUGCUUUAUAUCGUGUUGGGAAAUGGUCUCUUUAUUCCUAGUUUUCUUAAUUUUUAUCAUUAAAAGGUUAGAUUUUGUUAAAUACUUUUUCUGUGUCAACUGAAAUGAUCAUUUGGUUUUUCCCCUUCAUUCUGUUAAUAUGAUGUGUUACAUGGAUUGAUUUUCUUAUGUGUAAUCACCCCUGCAUUCUUGGAAUAAAUUCCACUUGGUUAUGGUGAA
Homo sapiens (human) is the source of this 5419-nucleotide long non-coding RNA. RefSeq lists it as uncharacterized. Lineage: Eukaryota; Metazoa; Chordata; Mammalia; Primates; Hominidae. The transcript is spliced from 4 exons. The record is from RefSeq and is a predicted model, not a curated record.